This 387-nucleotide ribosomal RNA is filed under the name Chryseobacterium indologenes. RNAcentral's name for it is "bacterial SSU rRNA". It matches the Rfam family "Bacterial small subunit ribosomal RNA", at positions 91 to 477 of the family's 1533-position model. The record is from RNAcentral. Lineage: Bacteria; Pseudomonadati; Bacteroidota; Flavobacteriia; Flavobacteriales; Weeksellaceae.
GAGAGCGGCGCACGGGUGCGGAACUNUUGUGCAACCUGCCUUUAUCAGGGGAAUAGCCUUUCGAAAGGAAGAUUAAUGCCCCAUAAUAUUUAGAAUGGCAUCAUUUUAAAUUGAAAACUCCGGUGGAUAAAGAUGGGCACGCGCAGGAUUAGAUAGUUGGUAGGGUAACGGCCUACCAAGUCAGCGAUCCUUAGGGGGCCUGAGAGGGUGAUCCCCCACACUGGUACUGAGACACGGACCAGACUCCUACGGGAGGCAGCAGUGAGGAAUAUUGGACAAUGGGUGAGAGCCUGAUCCAGCCAUCCCGCGUGAAGGACGACGGCCCUAUGGGUUGUAAACUUCUUUUGUAUAGGGAUAAACCUUUCCUCGUGAGGGAAGCUGAAGGUA